AGAGUUUGAUCCUGGCUCAGGACGAACGCUGGCGGCGUGCCUAACACAUGCAAGUCGAGCGGAGACAGUGAGUAGCUUGCUAUGAGCUGUUUUAGCGGGCGGACGGGUGAGUAACGCGUGAGCAACCUUUCCCAGACAGGGGAAUAACACACCGAAAGGUGUACUAAUACCGCAUAAGACCACGGAAUCACAUGGUUCUGAGGUAAAAGAUUUAUCGGUUUGGGGUGGGCUCGCGUCCGACUAGGUAGUUGGUGAGGUAACCGG
Molecule: ribosomal RNA, 264 nt
Filed under: uncultured bacterium
Lineage: Bacteria
Description: partial 16S ribosomal RNA
Rfam family: Bacterial small subunit ribosomal RNA
Source: RNAcentral